This 282-nucleotide ribosomal RNA is filed under the name Campylaspis sulcata. Its description in RNAcentral is "partial 16S ribosomal RNA". Lineage: Eukaryota; Metazoa; Arthropoda; Malacostraca; Cumacea; Nannastacidae. The record is from RNAcentral.
AUAAUAAUUUGUUUUUUAAUUGAAAGCUUGAAUGAAGGGUUGAACGAGAGGUGGCUAUUUUUAAUAUUUAAGUGAAAUUGAAAGCAAGUAAAAAAUCUUGGUUAUUUUGCUCAGGGACGACAAGACCCUGUAAAGUUUAAAUUUUUAUUUUUUGGGGGGAGGAAGGUGUCACAGGUAAGAUUUUAGCUGGGACGGCUUGUCUAUGAGAGUAGCUAGAUCACAUAGAACAUUUUUAAAGUGAGCUAAGGAGGCCCUCAAGGAGGGAAAGAAAUAAUUACUUUA